UAGGGAAUCUUCUGCAAUGGGGGGAACCCUGACCGAGCAACGCCGCGUGAGUGAAGAAGGUUUUCGGAUCGUAAAGCUCUUUUGUUAAGGAAGAACGAGUGUGAGAAUGGAAAGUUCAUGCUGUGACGGUACUUAACCAGAAAGGGACGGCUAACUACGUGCCAGCAGCCGCGGUAAUACGUAGGUCCCGAGCGUUGUCCGGAAUUAUUGGGCGUAAAGAGUGCGUAGGCGGCAAAUUAAGUCAGAUGUGAAAACUAAGGGAUCAACCUAUAGAUUGCAUAUGAAACUGGUAUGCUUGAGGCAAGGAGAAGAAGGUAGAAUUCCUAGUGUAGCGGUGGAAUGCGUAGAUAGUAGGAGGAAUGCCGGUGGCGAAGGCCACCUUCUGGGCUUGUAAUGACGCUGGGGCACGGAAACGUGGGGGGCAAACAGG
This 430-nucleotide ribosomal RNA is filed under the name Bacteroidota bacterium. RNAcentral describes it as "Bacteroidetes bacterium partial 16S ribosomal RNA". It matches the Rfam family "Bacterial small subunit ribosomal RNA", at positions 355 to 776 of the family's 1533-position model. The record is from RNAcentral. Lineage: Bacteria; Pseudomonadati; Bacteroidota.